GGAGAGGUGGCUGAGUGGCCGAAAGCGGCGCUUUGCUAAAGCGUUGUAGGUCUUAAAAGCCUACCGGGGGUUCGAAUCCCCCCCUCUCCGCCA
RNAcentral lists this transfer RNA (93 nucleotides) under Puniceicoccales bacterium. RNAcentral describes it as "tRNA-Ser". It matches the Rfam family "tRNA". From Rfam's summary of the family: Transfer RNA (tRNA) molecules are approximately 80 nucleotides in length. Their secondary structure includes four short double-helical elements and three loops (D, anti-codon, and T loops). The record is from RNAcentral. Lineage: Bacteria; Pseudomonadati; Verrucomicrobiota; Opitutia; Puniceicoccales.